AUGAACGCUAGCUACAGGCUUAACACAUGCAAGUCGAGGGGAAACGACAUCGAAAGCUUGCUUUUGAUGGGCGUCGACCGGCGCACGGGUGAGUAACGCGUAAGCAACCUGCCCUUCAGAUGGGGACAACAGCUGGAAACGGCUGCUAAUACCGAAUACGUUCUUUUUGUCGCAUGGCAGAGGGAAGAAAGGGAGGCUCUUCGGAGCUUUCGCUGAAGGAGGGGCUUGCGUCUGAUUAGCUAGUUGGAGGGGUAACGGCCCACCAAGGCGACGAUCAGUAGCCGGUCUGAGAGGAUGAACGGCCACAUUGGGACUGAGACACGGCCCAGACUCCUACGGGAGGCAGCAGUGAGGAAUAUUGGUCAAUGGGCGAGAGCCUGAACCAGCCAAGUAGCGUGCAGGAAGACGGCCCUAUGGGUUGUAAACUGCUUUUAUAAGGGAAUAAAGUGAGAGUCGUGACUCUUUUGCAUGUACCUUAUGAAUAAGGACCGGCUAAUUCCGUG
Molecule: ribosomal RNA, 503 nt
Filed under: uncultured bacterium
Lineage: Bacteria
Description: bacterial SSU rRNA
Rfam family: Bacterial small subunit ribosomal RNA
Source: RNAcentral